AACUGAUACUACCUGCGGGAACCUGCGGAAGGAUCAUUACCGAGUUAGGGUUCCUCUCACGGGCCCGACCUCCCAACCCUGUGUCUAUCACACCUUGUCGUUGCUUCGGCGGACCGGUUUGACUCCGGUCGCGACCGCCGGGGGUGCUUCACCCCGGGAGAGCGUCCGCCGAUGGCCCAACCACAAAACUUCUUUGUACCAAAACCGGUCGUCUAAAUCAAACUUGAUCAUAAUCAAAAA
RNAcentral lists this unclassified non-coding RNA (240 nucleotides) under soil metagenome. Its description in RNAcentral is "partial contains 5.8S ribosomal RNA, internal transcribed spacer 2, and large subunit ribosomal RNA". The record is from RNAcentral.